UUGCAGUUAAAAAGCUCGUAGUCGAAUGUAGAGUCUUAAAUGCCGAAAUGUCUUUUUUUUUAGAGACAAUUUUUUUUGGCGCUUAAGAUUCUUUUUUACCGAUUACUAUUUGUUUUUAAGUAAACAAAUUUGGUGUAUCGGUAAUUUUUACUGUGAAUAAAUUAGAGUGUUCAUGGCAGGCCAAUAGGGCUUAAAUAUCUCAGCAUGGAAUAAUAGAAUAGGACUUCUGGUUCUAUUUUGUUGGUUUUUGGAGCCGAAGUAAUGAUUAAUAGGAAUAGUUGGGGGCACUCGUACUCCGUUGUCAGAGGUGAAAUUCUUG
This 319-nucleotide ribosomal RNA is filed under the name Hemiselmis virescens. Its description in RNAcentral is "partial Eukaryotic small subunit ribosomal RNA". It matches the Rfam family "Eukaryotic small subunit ribosomal RNA", at positions 613 to 922 of the family's 1831-position model. The record is from RNAcentral. Lineage: Eukaryota; Cryptophyceae; Cryptomonadales; Hemiselmidaceae.